ACGAGGAGCAGGAGCUCGGGUAAGGGAAGGGGAGAGAGCGGCGGACGAAACUAACCUAGCUUUUUGUUUUAGCAGCGAGGGUGGUUUUGGGUUAGGGGUUAGGCGGCUUUGGGAUCGCCGCUGCUUGCCCUCCGGCAUCGGCCCCCUAAGGUCGCGAGGCCGCUCUACCUAAACCUAGACACCUAGCAGUUCCAGUUCCUCCCCGUCGUGGAGCGGCUCGUGCUCGAGGUCAGGGAGACGCUUAUGCACUUCCUCUAGGAGUAGCUCCUCAGGUUGCACGUCGGCCAGUUGUCGGGGCACUGCCACACGCCGCUGUAGGUGCCGGUCAAGGUGCUGGAGUACUUCGAGAAGCGGUGGCCGCCGGUACAGGGGCUGUGGUUGAUGUAAAAGUACCCGCUGAAACACCUGGCGCCCAAAUUGUCGGAGCUCCAGAAGUGGUAAGAGGACGAAGAUUUUCGAUCCAUAGGACCGGUGUAUUGGGAAGACGCACCUUUGGUACUUUCGUCUGUCAACUGCGUCCAAAUACCAAAAAUACUGCUCACAGUCUCCUUCAUACCCUUACGCUUACGUACCGCCAUAACGUGACUACAAAAACUGAUGGAAUGAGAAAGCCGCUAGUAAUUACCGUGUCAGGAGACACAAGUACCACCGGAAAGUGGACUACAUGCGUGUCAACUAGUCUACGCCUAUUAACUAGCGUUGACACUUUAAGGAGUACUUCCUGGAAAAACACUAGACUACACCUCACUGGGUCUUCUCUAUCUCUGUACCCCACAAUCAGGGGCACCUCGUCCAACCGAAAAACCUAGUGCCCACUGUUGGCUCAAAUUGGUACAAUUGUUAGAACUCAAUCAAACAGCCCGAGUAGUUGAUCAGGUCCUUCCGGAUUUCAUGUACAAGGUUCUGUUCCCUGAACAUUGACACACCAGACGUGGAUUAAUAACAAUGUCUACACCCUUACAACGAAGGUAUGAUUCGAAGUCGCUUUGAUACCUUUCUCUACACUUCUAGAAGUCUCUGCCUGCUCUUGUUGGUUUACGCUCCCGGCUCUUCACGCCAGGGCAUAAAGGAAACUGGAGAAAACAUGUAAUAAAAAACCACUAAAAAAGUGAAGACCACAAGUAACAACAUCGAGGUCGGGUGUCACGUAAGCCUAGUAGACUACGUAAAACUAAAGUGGCGGACAGAAUUGGACGACACAUGUUAUCUAAUGACCCUCGUAUCGACGGUUAAACGGGGCAAAAACAGGAAGUAUCGGACAGGUGUGGAUUCGAGUGUUAAGACAUAAAAUCUUGGUUGAACACGUAAAGAUCUUCUAUACUACAUACUUGUGUACCUCCUCCUACUUUAUAACAACACACACGUACCGCAACAUAGAACGAGUCGUCAGUCGACUUCUUGAGACAACGGUAUCAAUUUAAGGUGCCGCUUGGUACUG
Molecule: ribosomal RNA, 1438 nt
Filed under: Triticum aestivum (bread wheat)
Lineage: Eukaryota; Viridiplantae; Streptophyta; Magnoliopsida; Poales; Poaceae
Description: partial small subunit ribosomal RNA
Source: RNAcentral